AACAUUGUGCUUGCACAGAUGACGACCGGCGCACGGGUGCGUAACGCGUAUAGAACCUACCUUUUACAGAGGAAUAGCCUUUAGAAAUGAAGAUUAAUGCCUCAUGGUAUUGUAGACUGGCAUCAGUUUAUAAUUAAAGAUUUAUCGGUAAAAGAUGGCUAUGCGUCCUAUUAGUUAGUUGGUAAGGUAACGGCUUACCAAGACAGCGAUAGGUAGGGGUCCUGAGAGGGAGAUCCCCCACACUGGUACUGAGACACGGACCAGACUCCUACGGGAGGCAGCAGUGAGGAAUAUUGGACAAUGGAGGAGACUCUGAUCCAGCCAUGCCGCGUGUAGGAAGAAUGCCCUAUGGGUUGUAAACUACUUUUAUACAGGAAGAAACACUGGUAUGUAUACCAGCUUGACGGUAC
Molecule: ribosomal RNA, 410 nt
Filed under: uncultured Polaribacter sp.
Lineage: Bacteria; Pseudomonadati; Bacteroidota; Flavobacteriia; Flavobacteriales; Flavobacteriaceae
Description: bacterial SSU rRNA
Rfam family: Bacterial small subunit ribosomal RNA
Source: RNAcentral